Molecule: ribosomal RNA, 473 nt
Filed under: uncultured bacterium
Lineage: Bacteria
Description: bacterial SSU rRNA
Rfam family: Bacterial small subunit ribosomal RNA
Source: RNAcentral
UGGGGAAUUGUUCACAAUGGGCGCAAGCCUGAUGACGCAACGCCGCGUGGGGGAUGAAGGUCUUCGGAUCGUAAACCCCUGUCGAAUGGGACGAAAGACUCGCGAGUGAAUACUUCGCGAGAGUGACGGUACCGUUAAAGGAAGCCACGGCUAACUCUGUGCCAGCAGCCGCGGUAAUACAGAGGUGGCAAGCGUUGUUCGGAAUUACUGGGCGUAAAGGGCGCGUAGGCGGCAAUUCAAGUCAUCUGUGAAAUCUCCGGGCUUAACUCGGAACGGUCAGAUGAUACUGCUUUGCUAGAGUGCAGAAGGGGCAAUCGGAAUUCUUGGUGUAGCGGUGAAAUGCGUAGAUAUCAAGAGGAACACCUGAGGUGAAGACGGGUUGCUGGGCUGACACUGACGCUGAGGCGCGAAAGCCAGGGGAGCAAACGGGAUUAGAUACCCACGUAGUCCCUGAGCGGGCUGGCAAGGCGCAU